UCCCUGGUGACUUUGCGGUUAAGGAUCCAGCAUUGUCACUGCUGUGGCUCGGGUUCGAUCCCUGGCCUGGGAA
RNAcentral lists this transfer RNA (73 nucleotides) under Sus scrofa (pig). It matches the Rfam family "tRNA". From Rfam's summary of the family: Transfer RNA (tRNA) molecules are approximately 80 nucleotides in length. The record is from Rfam by way of RNAcentral. Lineage: Eukaryota; Metazoa; Chordata; Mammalia; Artiodactyla; Suidae.